Long non-coding RNA from Sitodiplosis mosellana (orange wheat blossom midge), 771 nucleotides. RefSeq lists it as uncharacterized. The record is from RefSeq and is a predicted model, not a curated record. NCBI's taxonomy places the organism in Eukaryota, Metazoa, Arthropoda, Insecta, Diptera, Cecidomyiidae. The transcript is spliced from 2 exons.
UGCAUUUCUCAUAUAAAUAUCUUGAUUUCAUAGGAGAAUCCAAAGCCAAUGUGUCCAAAGCUCUUUGUGUCGUUCUUUGCCCUCUGUAUUCUUGUUCCACUGCCAUUCGCCUCACUGUUUUAUUUUUCAAUCACUAAGGCGGAUCCAGCCACGGGCUCAGCUAUAUUCUUCUUGCUAUUUUGCUUAGCAGGUCUGGCUUAUUACGUGUGGAUCGUACAGUAUUCCUUAUUCAAGUCGAUAAAAGAAGCCGAAUUUGCCAAGUAUUGUACAUAGGAUGGAGAGUUGAAACGUCAACAAGUCAAAUCCAAGUAGAAUAAACUUUAUUCAAUGAAAUUGGCGUUUUUUACAAACAAAAUUCAUAUUUGGAAUUGCCUUGUUAGCAUUUUAAAUCAUUUAAAUUCAACAACGGAUCAAUUCUUCUAAUGACUCGUAACUAAGCACAAUUAACAGCCGUAGUUUUUAAUCAAAAUGUGGAUUAAAUUUUAUUUAGUGAAAUUUGUGUCAAGUUUCAAUCAAUACGGGUUGAAAAAUAAAUUUAAAAAAGAAAGAAAUAGUCAAUUGACCUUACUCGCAGUCUAUGAAAUACACAAAUGUUUGAGAUUAAACUUAUUGUUAGCAUAAGUUAGAAUAAUUGUUUACUAAAACUAAAUGUACUCUGUAUAAAAAACCAUAUCGAUCCAAAAAGGCAUCAUACAUUUUUCAAAGCAAUAUAAAUUCAGUGAAGAGAAAACAUUUAUCUGAGAAAUAAAAUAACGUUUGUUCAAUAAGAAA